AAACGUUCAAAGUAUUUACUUUGACUAAAAAAACCGAAGAUUACGCUGAAAUCAGAACAACAAGAAACUCGACAGUGAUUAGAGGUAAAAAGUCAAGCAAGGGAGUUGACAUACCCUGAUCAAUUUCAAACUCCUCAAAUUCAUCGUCGUCUUCAAAAAGAUCAAUCUUCGCGUCCUCGGUAGCUGCCUUUGGUUGCUCAGUAGUUGCCAUUGUCAGUCACUCAAAGCAAAACUACACAUCAAAUUUUUCAUAAAUAUAAGAAAUGUACAGAUCGUGGGUAAAUAACCUAUGUUGCCACGAAAGCCCUAGUUCAGAAAAUAAAUAAACAAAUCGAAAAAAUCAAACCAAAUAAUCAAUAAUCAGCUAACUAGUUAAUAUAUCAGUCAACACAACCAACAGACAUCGAGACUGCAAGCAAAAAUCGAGCAAAUGAAACGAACGUAUGACUUCCAUCACCGCAAAGAGGAAUUUGGAGAAAUAUAAAAUCAGAGCAUCCUUAAAAUAUGUAAAAAUAUGGAAAUACGAAGAAAAAUGAAUCGAAUAAAAGACAGAUGUAAUUACCUUACCAGCGUAUACUUGGUUCUUCGAUCCUAAAACCAAAAAAGAUCGGAAAAAGAAGAACCAGAGAUUAGCACAGCAAAUCCAAUCGAAGUAAGGUAGUCAAGAACGGGGUGUUUGGAAUGAAGAGGAAGGGGGGCUAGGGUUUUGAGAGGAGCGUACCUGAAAAAUCUGGAGGAAUCUUGUAGAUGGGGAAAGGGAUUAGGUCAUAAGCAAGUUUAUAUACUCUUUUUGCAAAAUCCAAAAAUGUUUUUUUUCUCACUCUCCUCCUCCCUAAAGGUUAUUCUACAUUGAAUAAUUUUUUGUUGGCCCUAAAAAGGAGCAAAAGUUUUCAAUUAAGCUCCAAAAAGUGAAAAUGUUGUAAUUUGGCUCUUAUGAUACAUUAUAAAAUUGAAUCUAACUUUAUUGACAAUACCGUUAUUGAUUGUAAAUCAACAAUCAUGCUCCCAAUGAGUUGAGAAGCUGAAUAUUUUUUUUAUGAAGAAGCUGAAUAAUCACUCAUUAGGACUUUUAACAAUAUCUUGCAUGAUCAAAAAAGGAAAUAUAAGCUUCGUUGGAGGUAAAAUUGAAGCAUUUCUAGUUUUUGGGGCUUUAUUAAUUACUUUGCAUGAUAAAUAUGAAGUAACUUAUUUGCUAUAUAGCGGAUUUGACUUCUCUUCAAUGGAUACUCUCUUCAUUUUUCACAGUAUACAUAUCUUCAUUUAUUAAUAAGAGUUAGGAUUAGUCGAACUUAAAAUGAUUAUGUUCCUAAUAAUGAAAACAUGUUAUGCAUCUAGAUGUACAUUGUAAAAUAUGGAAAGAGAAUACACUAGAAAGGAGCCAAUUCCAUGGUAAAAGUUGAUUAUACUAAGUGAUCUACAAAUUUGUGAAGUAAAUUACUACUCACAAUGUAGGGAAAAUUUUAAUGUAGCUUGAAUUUUGGUACCCUUUUUAUCAACUCUACUACCCUAAACUUUGUUAGAUUUAUACAUCUUCCCACUUAGCCGUUGCAUCUAUUUCAUUUUCCGUUUCUAAGGGAAUGCUUGAUUCAAGUUUAGGAAUCGGAAUUGUAAUUGGAAUCAUGUCCAAAAUUUGAGUAUGGGUUCUCAUCAAGGAUAUCAUUAUAAUAAUUAGUGUUUGGUAUAUACUUAUAAGUUUUUGGAAUCAAUUUUUUUUCGUUUUCUUGUCUUUAUUUUUUUUUUCUUCCUUCCCAUUUCCUGCUUCCUUCUUCCUAGCCUUUAAAUACUCAUGUUUCACCAAAUUCUCUUAAACCACCACCAAUCAACUUUAAAAUUUUGUGGAGCAUGGGAGAGCGACUGACAA
This 1861-nucleotide long non-coding RNA is filed under the name Coffea arabica (coffee). RNAcentral's name for it is "long non-coding RNA (CARA_LNC002896)". The record is from RNAcentral. Lineage: Eukaryota; Viridiplantae; Streptophyta; Magnoliopsida; Gentianales; Rubiaceae.